CGUUCCAGUUAGGCAGUUGGCGGGGUAACGGCCCACCAAACGGACGAUGGGUAGGGGUUCUGAGAGGAAGGUCCCCCACAUUGGUACUGAGACACGGACCAAACUCCUACGGGAGGCAGCAGUGAGGAAUAUUGGUCAAUGGGCGCGAGCCUGAACCAGCCAAGUCGCGUGAGGGAUGAAGGUUCUAUGGAUCGUAAACCUCUUUUAUAAGGGAAUAAAGUGCGGGACGUGUCCCGUUUUGUAUGUACCUUAUGAAUAAGGAUCGGCUAACUCCGUGCCAGCAGCCGCGGUAAUACGGAGGAUCCGAGCGUUAUCCGGAUUUAUUGGGUUUAAAGGGUGCGUAGGCGGCCUUUUAAGUCAGCGGUGAAAGUCUGUGGCUCAACCAUAGAAUUGCCGUUGAAACUGGGAGGCUUGAGUAUGUUUGAGGCAGGCGGAAUGCGUGGUGUAGCGGUGAAAUGCAUAGAUAUCACGCAGAACCCCGAUUGCGAAGGCAGCCUGCCAAGCCAUUACUGACGCUGAUGCACGAAAGCGUGGGGAUCAAACAGGAUUAGAUACCCUGGUAGUCCACGCAGUAAACGAUGAUCACUAGCUGUUUGCGAUACAUUGUAAGCGGCACAGCGAAAGCGUUAAGUGAUCCAC
RNAcentral lists this ribosomal RNA (639 nucleotides) under uncultured bacterium. Its description in RNAcentral is "bacterial SSU rRNA". It matches the Rfam family "Bacterial small subunit ribosomal RNA", at positions 234 to 872 of the family's 1533-position model. The record is from RNAcentral.